Molecule: ribosomal RNA, 428 nt
Filed under: uncultured archaeon
Lineage: Archaea
Description: bacterial SSU rRNA
Rfam family: Archaeal small subunit ribosomal RNA
Source: RNAcentral
UACCAGCUCUCCGAGUGGUAGGGAUGAUUAUUGGGCUUAAAGCGUCCGUAGCCGGCUUGGCAAGUUUCCUGUUAAACUCUGCGACUUAAUCGUUGAAUCGCGGGAAAUACUACUAGGCUAGGAGGCGGGAGAGGUCAACGGUACUUCUGGGGUAGGGGUGAAAUCCUAUAAUCCCGGGAGGACCACCAGUGGCGAAGGCUGUUGACUAGAACGCGCUCGACGGUGAGGGACGAAAGCUGGGGGAGCGAACCGGAUUAGAUACCCGGGUAGUCCCAGCUGUAAACGAUGCGGGCUAGGUGUUGGGAUGGCUACGUGCCAUUUCAGUGCUGCAGGGAAGCCAUUAAGCCCGCCGCCUGGGGAGUACGGCCGCAAGGCUGAAACUUAAAGGAAUUGGCGGGGAGCACCACAAGGCGUGAAGCUUGCGGUUC